Molecule: ribosomal RNA, 460 nt
Filed under: uncultured bacterium
Lineage: Bacteria
Description: partial 16S ribosomal RNA
Rfam family: Bacterial small subunit ribosomal RNA
Source: RNAcentral
CCUACGGGAUGCAGCAGUGAGGAAUAUUGGUCAAUGGACGCAAGUCUGAACCAGCCAUGUCGCGUGCAGGAUGACUGCCCUAUGAGUUGUAAACUGCUUUUGUAUGAGGGUAAAUUGUGCUACGUGUAGGGUUUUGUAUGUACCCUAUGAAUAAGGAUCGGCUAACUCCGUGCCAGCAGCCGCGGUAAUACGGAGGAUCCAAGCGUUAUCCGGAUUUAUUGGGUUUAAAGGGUGCGUAGGUGGAUGGGUAAGUUAGUUGUGAAAUCCCGCGGCUCAACCCUGACACUGCCGCUGAUACUGGCAGGCUAGAGUAUAGUAGCGGUAGGCGGAAUGUGUGGUGUAGCGGUGAAAUGCAUAGAGAUCAUACAGAACUCCGAUUGCGAAGGCAGCUUACCGAACUGCAACUGACAUUGAGGCUCGAAAGCGUGGGGAGCAAACAGGAUUAGAUACCCGGGUAGUC